Molecule: ribosomal RNA, 274 nt
Filed under: uncultured bacterium
Lineage: Bacteria
Description: partial 16S ribosomal RNA
Rfam family: Bacterial small subunit ribosomal RNA
Source: RNAcentral
AUACGGAGGGUCCAAGCGUUAUCCGGAAUCAUUGGGUUUAAAGGGUCCGCAGGCGGUCAAUUAAGUCAGAGGUGAAAGCCCAUCGCUCAACGAUGGAACUGCCUUUGAUACUGGUUGACUUGAGUUAUACGGAAGUAGAUAGAAUAAGUAGUGUAGCGGUGAAGUGCAUAUAUAUUACUUAGAAUACCGAUUGCGAAGGCAGUCUACUACGUAUAUACUGACGCUGAGGGACGAAAGCGUGGGGAGCGAACAGGAUUAGAAACCCUAGUAGUCC